Molecule: long non-coding RNA, 1833 nt
Filed under: Vigna radiata
Lineage: Eukaryota; Viridiplantae; Streptophyta; Magnoliopsida; Fabales; Fabaceae
Description: long non-coding RNA (VRAD_LNC005672)
Source: RNAcentral
ACCCUUAAUACACAUAUAUAAAAGCAAACCCUAUACGCAAUUAGCAUAGUUUGUACAAUUUUAGCAUGCACUGAUGCUUGUAUAUUUGAUCAGAGUAUUAAUUACAAUUAAAUGAUUGUGCAGAUUUUAGGUAAAAAUCAAACAUGCAGACACUUAUCAUUUAGACAUACCCUUUUCCCAUAGCUCUUUCUUUUUUUCUUUUUUUUUAUCAACCCUAAAUAUAUAGGAAAUAAACAUGGUUGUUUUAAUUUCCCAUCAUUUUUUUUUCUGGAGGAUUUCAACCGUCUGCAUUCCAUUUCAUCAACAAGACCUUUAGAACCUGAAAUUGGCAUAGAACUUGAAUGAAAAUCUGUACUCCUUAAAUUACUAAGAACCCUAAAGUAUCUAAUAUAUAGGUAGACAAUCAAUAUACUUUAGUUAGUUUCAACACAGAAACGUAGAAUUAAGUUCGAUGGCAUAGGAUUAACUGAAGUAAGUAACUCAUGGUAUUGAAAUUAACUACGUCCAUGGUAUUGAUUACUCCAACCAUUACAAAAAAAAUCAACAUUCCACAAAAGUCAGAUUCUGACAUAACCGAUAUAAUAGUCUGAAAGACUGAUAAUACCGAAGAGAUAUGAAUGGUAUAGAGUACUAUGCGUGUUAAAAAUGCAUAAACUAUCCACCAUGAGUAUGUGCAUAGAGAACACACAAAAAAAAAAAUCACCUUUUUGAAAGAUUGUUGUUCAAAACUUUCAAUUCAACUUUAAAAAUACUUCUGGGUUCAAUCCCAAAAUUUAAAAUAAAGAAAAGAGAGACGAGUACAUACCAGAUAAAACCUAACCAAAAUCAAUAUUUAAUUCCAGUUAAAUCUAUGCUUCUGUAAAACCAUGUUCAUUACUACAAAGAAUCCCAUUUUUCGUCACAAAAUCCAUACCUUUGCUGAUCAAUUUUUCUUCUUAACCGAGCAUCCCCAAAACCCUAGCAGUUAAUCUGGUAAACUCAGGAGUAAAAUAAACGAAAAUUAGGAUGGGUUUUAAGUAGAAUCUUAUGUCUAAACUGUCAUCAGAUGCAAACAUAAAGCUGUUUUCAGUGAUUAGUCAACAUAAACCUCUUAAACGUAGGCUAACUGAGAGAACACAAGAUCAAAAUUCAUCAACUAAUUAGAGCUUCAGAUACUUGUACCUGUGAAAAUAGGCUCUCUAUAAGCGAACACAUAUACUUCAGACAAAGCAGAAAUAGAAUUACUUUUCUUGAGGAAACUGAUGCACUUCAAUCUGCAUGCUAAUAAAAGAAUAAUCCAUAUGUGGAAAGCAGCAAUACAUACCUGAGAAAUGGAAUGAGAUGCCCAUAAAGCAUACUACUGAAUGAUAUGACAACACAAGCCUAAGGGAUAGGGUAACUUAUAGCAUAUGAAGGGAAAGUGAAAACAAAAAUCAGAUACAUAUAUAUUAACAGAAAGUGAAGAAAAUAAAGGAUUGAAAGAAAGAGAUGGAGAUGGGGUGACAGAUAGAGAGUAAGCACACAUAGCUUCAAGCAUGAAACCUUAUCAUCCAAGAAAGUACCAUGUGUGCUCACUCUCUUCUGUCACCUCCCUUACCCUAAUCUGCAUUCAUUUACUGAAAUCUGAUGUGUAUCAUUGCUGCAUAAUACUUCUGGAAUGGGUUGGAUGAGGGUUAAGGGGAGAGAAAAAAACAUUCAAUUGUUUCUCUAACAAUCAACACCCUUUUUUUUAUCAAACAUUCAACACAAGUUCACUUUCUCAUGGAACAAAUGACGAACUUGAAUUGCCCUUGUGUGAAGAACUGAAGGGGGAUGCAGGGUAUAUAUAGGGAAAGAGGAAAUGUUGCAUCACGU